RNAcentral lists this ribosomal RNA (407 nucleotides) under uncultured prokaryote. Its description in RNAcentral is "bacterial SSU rRNA". It matches the Rfam family "Bacterial small subunit ribosomal RNA", at positions 355 to 776 of the family's 1533-position model. The record is from RNAcentral.
UGGGGAAUAUUGGGCAAUGGGGGCAACCCUGACCCAGCGACGCCGCGUGGGGGAAGACGGCCUUCGGGUUGUAAACCUCUUUUGUACGGGAAGAAGGAAGUGACGGUACUGUACGAAUAAGUCCCGGCUAACUACGUGCCAGCAGCCGCGGUAAUACGUAGGUGGCAAGCGUUGUCCGGAAUUACUGGGUGUAAAGGGCGUGUAGGCGGGGCGGCAAGUCAGAUGUGAAAUACCGUGGCUUAACUGCGGGGGUGCAUCUGAAACUGUCGUUCUUGAGUGUCGGAGAGGAAAGUGGAAUUCCCAGUGUAGCGGUGAAAUGCGUAGAGAUUGGGAGGAACACCAGUGGCGAAGGCGGCUUUCUGGACAGUAACUGACGCUGAGGCGCGAAAGCGUGGGGAGCGAACAGG